AGAGUGAACGCUGGCGGUAGGCCUAACACAUGCAAGUCGAACGGCAGCACAGUGGUAGCAAUACCAUGGGCGGCGAGUGGCGGACGGGUGAGGAAUACAUCGGAAUCUACCUUUUCGUGGGGGAUAACGUAGGGAAACUUACGCUAAUACCGCAUACGCCCUUUGGGGAAGCCGGGAUCGCAAGACCUGGCGCGGAUAGAUGAGCCGUAUGUCGGAUUAGCUAGUUGGUGAGGUAUGGCUCACCAAGGCGACGAUCCGUAGCUGGUCUGAGAGGAUGACUCGAGCCACACUCGGAACUCGGAAGACCGACCGGU
Molecule: ribosomal RNA, 314 nt
Filed under: uncultured soil bacterium
Lineage: Bacteria
Description: bacterial SSU rRNA
Rfam family: Bacterial small subunit ribosomal RNA
Source: RNAcentral